Molecule: long non-coding RNA, 1217 nt
Organism: Lontra canadensis (Northern American river otter)
Lineage: Eukaryota; Metazoa; Chordata; Mammalia; Carnivora; Mustelidae
Exons: 3
Source: RefSeq, a predicted model, not a curated record
AAAGACUUGAACAGGGACUUUAGCAAGCUCCAGUGACAUGAAAUCUUUCAGUAGCAGCUACAGACAAGGAUAUGGGGCAAGAGGGAUUCCCAUGCGCUGCUCAAAGGAAUCUUAAUUAGAGGUUGGGGGAAAAAAUGGCUAACUGUGUGUGUGUGUGUGUGUGUGUGUGUGUGUGUGUGUGUGUGGUGGCCUUUCAGAGCUGCCCCAUCACACAGAGGGCCCAAGACUGCACACGGGAGACCCGAGGACUGCAGUUCUCCGAGCCCUGAGAGCUCUCCAUCCUAAGGAGACCCAGCAGCUCUCCUGAAUCCAUGGCCUAAUGCAAACCGGAAACAGGAAGUCUGCACAGGGGCGGGCCUGGAUGGUAUGAGUGCCUAGCCAUGCAUUCACAACUAAGAAUCUUGGUACGAAGGAGAGUUUGUUUUGAUUGAGAACCUUCCCUCUGUUCAUUCUUCAUGUGCAAUUGCCAAAAAGGAGAAACUCAAGUGUCCAUCCACUGAUGAAUGAAUAAACAGGAUGUGGUGUAUCUAUACACUGGAAUGUUCUUCAGCAAAGGAGAAUGAAAGAACUGGCCCACGCAACAAGGAGAGUGAAACUGGGAGACAUUAUGCCAAGUGGAAGACGCCAGACACAGAAGGCCAUGGUGGUAUGACACUUCCAGGAAGUGUCCACAGUCGUCAUCCAUGGAGGGGGCAGUAGUUAGUGAUCCCAAGGAGGUGAGGGGAGGGCGAAUGAGAAGGGACUAACAGGUCUGGGAUUCUUUCUGGGGUGACAGAACUGUUCUAGGAUUAGGUCGUGGUAGUGGCUGCCUACCAUUGUGAGUUUCCUAAAAACCACCGAGUUAUACACUUAAAAAAAGCUAAUUGACAAAAAAAUAAAGCAAAACAAAUGAACAAAAACUGGAUCCCCGUGAAGGUAGAAAAUCUAAACAUAGUCACUUCGACAGAAUCGAUAGGGAAGUUUUCAAACAGCUCUCUCACUGAAAGCCUUCCAUCCAGAUGCUUUCAUAGGAGAAUUCUAUCAAACCUGAAAAAAACUUUUGUACCAAGUUCUUCUCGAAAAUAAGAAAUGAAGGCAAACUUCCAAAUUCUUUUUCAGAGAUAACUAUAAUACAGAUAACAAUAACUUAAUUUUAAAAAAUCCUCCAGAACAAUCUUACUUUAUGAAUAGAUUAUAAGUGAUUAGAUAUUAUUCAUUAUUAUGAAUAGAUUAUAAGU